Vicia faba (fava bean) is the source of this 357-nucleotide non-coding RNA. The record is from the annotation of a GenBank genome assembly. NCBI's taxonomy places the organism in Eukaryota, Viridiplantae, Streptophyta, Magnoliopsida, Fabales, Fabaceae.
AUGUUUGCUUCUGUUUCUCAGUGCAAUCGAUUGCACUCACUUACUUUUUGCUACUUACUUUACAUGCAAUCGAUUUGCAUUGAUAGUGCAAUCAAUUGCACUCUUAAAUUUUUUGAAAAAAUAGCUGUUAACACCUUGUGCAAUCGAUUUACACAAAGGGUGCAAUCGAUUGCAUGCUGCACGAUUUUGAAAAACAUCAGCUUUGUACAUACCUGUUCAUCAUGCCUUUUCAUUGAAACUUUUCACUCAAACUUGGCAUUUGUUCAUGAUACAUUUUCAGAACUUCAUGUUGUUUCAAAAGGGUGUUAUGAACAUAUAAAUAUUCAAUUUCAAAAUUUUUCAACACCUCUUCCAUAA